RNAcentral lists this ribosomal RNA (508 nucleotides) under uncultured bacterium. Its description in RNAcentral is "bacterial SSU rRNA". It matches the Rfam family "Bacterial small subunit ribosomal RNA", at positions 15 to 518 of the family's 1533-position model. The record is from RNAcentral.
GAUCUGGUUCAGGAUGAACGCUAGCGACAGGCUAACACAUGCAAGUCGAGGGGCAGCAUAAAAGUAGCAAUACUUGGUGGCGACCGGCGCACGGGUGAGUAACGCGUAUGCAACCUACCUAUCAGAGGGGAAUAACCCGGCGAAAGUCGGACUAAUACCGCAUAAAACAGGGACACCGCAUGGUGAUAUUUGUUAAAGAAAUUCGCUGAUAGAUGGGCAUGCGUUCCAUUAGGUAGUUGGUGAGGUAACGGCUCACCAAGCCGACGAUGGAUAGGGGAACUGAGAGGUUGGUCCCCCACACUGGUACUGAGACACGGACCAGACUCCUACGGGAGGCAGCAGUGAGGAAUAUUGGUCAAUGGGCGAGAGCCUGAACCAGCCAAGUCGCGUGAAGGAAGAAGGAUCUAUGGUUCGUAAACUUCUUUUGCAGGGGAAUAAAGUGCAGGACGUGUCCUGUUUUGUAUGUACCCUGAGAAUAAGGAUCGGCUAACUCCGUGCCAGCCGCCGC